This 481-nucleotide ribosomal RNA is filed under the name uncultured bacterium. Its description in RNAcentral is "partial 16S ribosomal RNA". It matches the Rfam family "Bacterial small subunit ribosomal RNA", at positions 28 to 507 of the family's 1533-position model. The record is from RNAcentral.
GACGAACGUUGGCGGCGUGCUUAAUACAUGCAAGUCAACUGAAGCAGUGGUAGCAAUAUCGCUGUGGAGGUGGCGCACGGGUGAGUAACACGUAGGUAAUCUGCCUUCAGGUCUGGCAUAACUCCGGGAAACCGGGGCUAAUAGCGGAUGAUGCAGCGGCUCGACAUCGAGACAGUUGUUAAAGCUAUGGCGCCUGAAGAUGAGCCUGCGUCUGAUUAGCUAGUUGGCGGGGUAACGGCCCACCAAGGCAACGAUCAGUAGCUGGUCUGAGAGGAUGAUCAGCCACACUGGAACUGAGACACGGUCCAGACUCCUACGGGAGGCAGCAGUAAGGAAUAUUGCUCAAUGGGAGAAAUCCUGAAGCAGCAACGCCGCGUGAGGGACGAAGGGCUUUUGCUUGUAAACCUCUGUAGUGAGAGAAAAAAAUCCCAAUCUUUGGGACAUGAUGGUAUCUCAAAAGUAAGCCCCGGCUAACUACGUG